Molecule: non-coding RNA, 72 nt
Organism: Phrynosoma platyrhinos (Desert horned lizard)
Lineage: Eukaryota; Metazoa; Chordata; Lepidosauria; Squamata; Phrynosomatidae
Source: the annotation of a GenBank genome assembly
GGCAGUGUGGUAUAGUGGUUUGAGUGCUGGAUUAUGACUCUAGAGACUAGGGUUUGAAUUCUUGUUUGGCCA